CUGGCUGUAGGUGUAAAUGGACAAAUCCUGGGUAGCUGUAAUUAGGGAUUUGUAAUUAGAGAUCUGUAAUGUAGAAUGCAGUUGGAGUCUAGAUAGUAUGCCUAGAUUGACAGAAGAUGUCAGGAGCUGUGAAGUUAUCCUGCAGCACUUUGAGUUGUGUCUUUGCUUUCUUUCAGAUGCGGAUGGAUGAAAUCCGUGUCAGAGGGCCCCAUCCAGGGUAAGGGUGUUCCCGCGAGAAGGUAAGUCACGGUUUGUCUUUGCAGGGGACCUGGAACCGGUCACUGUGUGACAGCUCUGUUCUUUGUUGUUAUUUUUAGGAUGUAAAGCCAGCUAUCCACGGUCAGGGCGAAGUCGGCAAGGUGAGCAGUGAGGGGUGGAGAGAAGCGGUUGUUAUUGCUGAGGUCUCAGUUUCAGCUGCAACUCCAAGCAUCCCUUCUCCUUUGCGUGCUUUAGGCGGUCCAGGCACCUUUUACCGAGACCCCCUCGCCGACUGGCCGGCAGGCCUGGUUCGCCGCUCCCGUGAGCCCUGCGGAAGCGUUAAGGGACCGCGUGCUGAAGCCUUGGCGUUUUCCACGUGACGGUGCCAUCCGGGCAGCCUUUAGCAACAGCCGAGGGGUUGCCGCGUGCCCCGCGAUGAUGGCAUCUGGCUCCGGGCGUGGCCGAAGCGUGCGGCCCUGGGAUGCGGGCGUUCUCGAGAGACCCUCAUCAAGAGACAGCAGCAUGGUGACGGCAGGAACUGGGCAGACGACGAGACGGCAUUCCUUGGCAGCCCGUGUGGACUCUCACCCCCCGGGCGUCCGAGAGCUAACUCAAAGGCUACGAUCCGCAGAGGGGGGAUGGAAGCGGGGUGCCGGGCUGGGACUCGUGGCCAGGAAGUUUUGAGUCUGCUUUGGACGUAGCGAGGUUCAAGAAGUGGCCCUUUAGGCCACCUCAAGGGAAAGCCUCACUUUGGCUCCCAAUGCUGAGGUGCACAGGGCAGAGCGGUCCGGGGAUGUGUCGGGUCACUUGUCUGUCGUGCCUUUUGUGCACCUCGUGUCGUAUGUGUCUUGCCUUAGCCCUUCCAGGAGGUUACAGGAAACCCUGGCGUCACUCUUAAC
Molecule: non-coding RNA, 1097 nt
Organism: Cyanistes caeruleus (blue tit)
Lineage: Eukaryota; Metazoa; Chordata; Aves; Passeriformes; Paridae
Source: RefSeq, a predicted model, not a curated record